CAAUAAGCAAUAUAGUGUGGAAAAACAACUAUUUAUUGAAAAGAAAAAAAAACCCAGAGUAAAUACGUUUUUUGCUACAAUAUAUUUCAAUCUCAUCGAAUGGCUAAGGCACAUGAAAAUAGAUACAAAGUAUGUUGGAAACUACAAUAAAUGCUAGCCUUAAUCACUACCUGGUCAACAAAUUGGGCAGGAUGUGAUAUCAAGUUGAUAGUCUUUGACACAAAAUUCUGCAGCAGACGGAUGAAUGUCAGACAGUCCAAGUAUUACUCCAUGUUUUUCCCCUUGAGUUGCUUAGAGUUGAGGGAGUACAUGUCUCACCCUCUCAACCCCUGUACAGACCUGUUUCUAUUAAUACAGGUGCAUUACAGUGAAGAGGCAUCAACGUCUAUCAAAAAAGUUAAUCUAAUUGAGUGACCACAUAUAAGCUCCUCGACUGAUCAUUGGAUGAGCUUAGAUCUUUAGAAAAUCAUCGUUGCAAACAGUCUUAAACUUGAUUAAACAGUAAACACACAUCCAAAGUAAAAAAGCUAGAUAAGAUAUAAAAGCAUAAAUUACAUAUAAAGGCAGAGUAUUAGAUCCCAAAUCCACAAAAAACCAAAUUCCCCUAUAUGCAUUUCACACGUACGUUCUCACAUUUGGAAAUUAAUUGUUUUACCUUGAAAGUAUGGUGUAUUUGGAGAUUUUUUUGUUAAAUCCAAUUGACUCUAAGUUUUGGUAUACGCCAAGAGUUAGUCAUCAAUACUAUAUGGCACAUAUAAGAGCAAAGGUUAUUGGAAAUCAACAUCCUACUAUGAUGUUUCACCUAACCUCUUAUUGAAAACCCAAAUUAAAUGGUUACUGUUUCAUGUAGUUGCAUUGUACACUGCUUACAUAUAUGAAGUAAAUGUCGAAUACAGUUCUAGGGAACAAUUAAGAAAUCACAUAUAUAGGAUACUCACAUCCAAAACAAUGCAAACUGCUAUUUUAAACAAACAAACAAAAAUUGGAUGAUACCUUUGCAUGCCUUGAGAGUCAGAAUGGAAAAGAAAGAGACGAAAAGAGCAUAACUGAAAGUGCGGAGAAGCAAGUAAUAGUGGCAUAUGGGACGUUGACAUUUCCAUUUCCUACCAGGUUCUAGUAUUUGUUUACCAUGCAAGAUUAACUCAAUCAUUUGAUGAUCCACAUUUCAGUCUCUCGCGCUUAAAACCUAUUCAAAGUAAUAGUUUUUUGUUAACCGAAACUACAACUUUUCAUGUCUAUUUCUUUGUUAACUGAACAUACAAUUUAUUCUCUUCACAGAUGAAAGGUAUUUCCAAAGGAAAUAAGAAAAAUACAGCCCAUAAUGUUUCUUGCUAGAAGAAGAUACUACAGACUAUAUUUCCUAAAUAAGUAAUAUAAUGUCACAAGUUCAAGACAUUUAAGUCAACAACAUUCUCAGCUAAAAAAAUCAUUUGAGUGCAAAAAAAGUCAUAGAGACAAAGCACGUUUGGAAAAACUUAAUGACAUCGAGAUGAUCAUAGAUUAAAUGAUGAGUUCACAAAAAUAAAUAACUUAGGUACUCAGAAAACAUUGUAAGUUUGUAACAAAUAGCAGGUCAUUUCCAUCUGCGCCCCAUGUGAAUUUACCUUAAUAUGCAAUUAAUCUAGGAGCAUGAACAGACUAAGAUUCCAAACUACCAAACUGUGUUUAUAUAAAGCACCUGCAGUUCAUGUACAUUUGAGUAUCGAGAAGACUAAUAUCAUGGGAUGACACCAUUAGAUCUUGCUGUUUGGGAAGGUGAAUCAGGCGUUCAUAUUCUUUAUCCUGUUACAUCUCCAAUUCCAACACAUUCGGACAGGAGCAUUGGUGGAAUAAUGAGGUAUUUAUGUUCAGAGGAAGCAAUAGAACAUAUAAUCUAAAAAAAAAUAGAAAAGAUAAUCUAAAAGGAAUUGAGACGUUCAAGGAGAGAAAAUCGAAGGGAGAAAAGACAUUGUGGAGAAAGAAUUAUCUCACAGCAGAAUUUGGUAGUCGAAGGCAGUUGAGAUAGACCCCAACAAUGCUAUUGUACUAUCUAAUAAAAGUCUUUGUUGGGUAUUGCUUGAAAAAUAGGGAUAAUGCUUGAAGUGACACAUAGGGUUUUUUUGUAGUUUGCACCUGAAUGGCCAAAGGCAUACUACAUUGAUUUUUUUUUUUUUUUGACAUGCAGAAUUGGCCUGAGUUGAACAAUGUAGGGCUGGUUUCGCUAAUCUGGAAUCUGAGACAAUUUCUAUCUUGAAUGCAAUAUCAAUGCAAUUUUGCCAUGUAGAGAAAGCAUGAUGCACUUGCCUCUAGAUAUUUUUCACGAUAUGACCGUAGUUUGGCGUUUUCAAUUAAUAUAUUAUUUCUAUCCUUCCCUAUACCAAACAGACUUGUAUGAGAAUAAGUCAUCCAAAUCAUUCAGAGGACAUGGAUGCUUGUUUUACAAAUGACAAUAUCAUGCAGGGGCAAGGCACUCAGUUAAUCCAACAUCGCAGGUUGCAUCAGUCCAUAGAUUAUUAGCAAACUGACAGCUAAAGGAAAGGUGAUCAAAGGUUUCUGAAUUCACUAUAAGUGGCAGCUUAUGGAGGGAGUGAACAAAUUCAACAACAAUUCAUCCCUUGCGCAAUUUCAUUGAAAUCCAAGCUUGCAUUAUCAAAGCCAACACUUGUAGAAUAAUAAAAAAAAAUCUGUUAUAGAUAAUUACCUGCAACUGCAAUAUCCGUUCUCAAUUGAUAUGUCCAUGCAUUUUAAAAACUGCAAUCAAACAAUUAUAAAUAACACAUUUUAAUGUUUUAUUCAAAGAAACCAUGCAAUAAUAUUUCGAAUUUAGAAGUCUUACAUGAUAAUCAUUUUCAUUAAUUUUUAAUUGAAUUUUUUCAUUUAUUUUUAUCUUCUUACUAUUCUAGAAAUCAUCUGGGUACAAUAUAUUCUGAUUAAAUGUCAUAAAACGAACCUGGAUACCAUCCAUUAUCAAUACCCUCAACAAUUAGUUGAUUUCUAUGAUUUCUGGGAAUGCACAUGAGUUCCUCUCUUCAAGUCAUCGAUUUGUUCUCUUUGUCCAUCAUUAAUCUAUUAAUCACAAAGAUUAUACCAUUUAUUAGUAAUCAAUGAUAAACAAAAAUAUAUGUUGGGAAAAAAAUAAAAAUAGAUCAAGUAUAUAAAAAUAGAAUCAAACCAAUCCAUAAUAUGAUGCUUUUGUAUUUGACAUUAUUCUAUUUUUAUGAUGGCUUGGAUCUCAGCUAAAUGCAUAAUAUUCCAAUUUAACUGCGAAUAUUAACCGUUAAGUAGGAAAAAGCGGGAAUAUUAUGAGUUUACCAAUGAGUCUAGACUUUGCAAGAUAUACAUUCAAAGAGAAAUUUAAAAGUAGAAGAAAUAUAGGCUUAGAAGAUGAAACUCCAAAAUACCGACACUAACUUGGAUGGAAAAGUAUGGAGAUUAGAAGAAAUUAAUGGUGGCACCAUGUUGCCUCAAUGGAAUUGCUAAUUGGCAUGUCUGUGGUCGGUGGUUUGGCCUUUAUGUCAGCAAGUCCAUUACUUGAGACAUUCCCACUAUCGUCCCUAAAGAAAGUUUACAACAUGCCAAAGUAUUUUAGCAUAACAAACAAUGAGUAGUUUACAACAGAUAAAAUAAUUUAUUUGCUGGUAGCAAAUAAAUGUUUUAGGUCUUAAGUCAUGAAUACCUUGAGACGGAGAAACGUAAACUGACCUGAGUUUACAGAUCAAACUGGUGUUGUAGCUAUCUAAAAGGGAAUCGUUAAUUUCAGGAAGGUGGAAUGUGUCUGAGGGAGCUGCCGACAAACAUUCUUGAAUCACAAUAAUCCUAUAACUACAAACUUAAUACUCAAACACAUAUAGAAAUUAGCACUCUCAAUGUGAAAUUGACCUUACAAUGACUUCAUAUGAAGAAGGACAUCCUAUGUAUAGACAAAUGUGUUUGUAACAAUUAAUUUGCAUCCCUUUAUAUUGAAUAGGUCGAGGAGCAUUUUGGUAGCGUCAGUUUGCUUUCCCGAGACUUAGAAUAACUUAUUAGCUUAGAUUAUGAUAAUCAAUCAAGACGCAACACACAUUAUUAUUCUCAUAACAUCUCUCCUUCUUAUCUCAUUGUAGUAGUAAAUCAUGUAAUUAAACUACAACUCUUCUAGCCAUUGAAACAUGAAAAUAGCCAAUAACAAUGAUGAAGGUUCAAUAAUGCUUAUAAUAUCAAUCAAAAUCAUCUCUAGAUCCUUGAUGCUUAUUAUAAAAUAUUUGUGAUGGUAAUUGGACUUAAAUUCGAUUAACAAAAAUAUUGAAUUUAAUAAAAUAAUCAAUCAAUUGAAAACCACACUAUCACUAUUCUACCACAUAUAUUCUCCGCAUGAGAAAGAAGUGUACCUGAUUGUGGGUUUCUAUUGCCAUGAUGAGGGAAGGCCACAAAAGGAGUAGAAAAUUUUGUUAAGUGAGUUAGUUGAUCUUAUUAAGUUUCAAAAUUUUAUUUAUCAAUUGAAAUACACCUUCUACACAGCAUGUUUUUGCUUCUGUUUUUCCUAGCCAUUGCAUCAACCAUGUAUUUAUGUUACGUUUUGUUUUGCAAUAAUCAAUUGUGAUUCCAUAUAUCAAGAUGAUGAUAAUAAGAUAAAGCCAAGAUUGAUUCUUAAGUCCCUAGACAACGCAGACUUUCUAAUGGUUUAUAUGAGAGAAGAAGAUGUGUUUCAGUCGGUUGGUAAUUCAUGAUACCAUAUGCGGAAAAACAAAUCAACAAAUCUGAUUACCUCCCUCUGAUUGAGGAACUUCAACUUCAGCGUUAAUUUUUCCUGGAAAUAAAUUGGUAGAGAAACAAACAAAGU
This 4798-nucleotide long non-coding RNA is filed under the name Aquilegia coerulea. RNAcentral's name for it is "long non-coding RNA (ACOE_LNC001601)". The record is from RNAcentral. Lineage: Eukaryota; Viridiplantae; Streptophyta; Magnoliopsida; Ranunculales; Ranunculaceae.